Molecule: unclassified non-coding RNA, 421 nt
Filed under: soil metagenome
Description: partial contains 5.8S ribosomal RNA, internal transcribed spacer 2, and large subunit ribosomal RNA
Rfam family: 5.8S ribosomal RNA (bases 1-120)
Source: RNAcentral
GAUGAAGAACGUAGCGAAAAGCGAUACGUAAUGUGAAUUGCAGAAUUCAGUGAAUCAUCGAAUCUUUGAACGCAUAUUGCGCUCUUUGGUAUUCCGAAGAGCAUGCUUGUUUGAGUAUCAGUAAACACCUCAACCUCUUCUUGAUUUUUCAAAAGGAGGGUGGACUUGAGCUAUCCCAACAACCUUUACCGGUCGGCGGGCGGCUUGAAAUGCAGGUGCAGCUGGACUUUUAUCUGAGCUAAAAGCAUAUCUAUUUAGUCCUCGUCAAACAGGAUUAUUACUUUUGCUGCAGCUAACAUAAAGGAUAAUUGUCCUCUUUGCUGACUGAUGCAGGAUUUUACGACACUUUAUGUGUUGUUCAACUCGAUCUCAAAUCAAGUAAGACUACCCGCUGAACUUAAGCAUAUCAAUAAGCGGAGGA